CCUACGGGUGGCAGCAGUGGGGAAUAUUGCACAAUGGGGGAAACCCUGAUGCAGCAACGCCGCGUGAAUGAAGACGUAUUUCGGAAUGUAAAGCUCUAUUAGCAGGGAAGAAAAUGAAGGUAAGCUAAUGAGCAACCCAUGCUAACUACGUGGCAGCAGCCGCGGUAAUAAGUAGGUGGCAAGCGUUUUCCGGAUUUACUGGGUGUAAAGGGCGUGGAGGCGGGAAAGCAAGUCAGAUGUGAAAACCACGGGCUUAACCUGUGGCCUGCAGUUGAAACUGGUUUUCUUGAGUGCUGGAGAGGCUGACGGAAUUCCGAGUGUAGCGGUGAAAUGCGUAGAUAUUAGGAGGAACACCAGUGGCGAAGGCGG
This 369-nucleotide ribosomal RNA is filed under the name uncultured bacterium. RNAcentral's name for it is "partial 16S ribosomal RNA". It matches the Rfam family "Bacterial small subunit ribosomal RNA", at positions 338 to 724 of the family's 1533-position model. The record is from RNAcentral.